GGUGAGUAAUGCCUAGGAAAUUGCCUUGAUGUGGGGGAUAACCAUUGGAAACGAUGGCUAAUACCGCAUAAUGCCUACGGGCCAAAGAGGGGGACCUUCGGGCCUCUCGCGAUUGGAGCGGCCGAUGUUAGAUUAGGUAGUUGGUGGGGUAAAGGCUCACCAAGCCAACGAUCUAUAGCUGGUCUGAGAGGACGACCAGCCACACUGGAACUGAGACACGGUCCAGACUCCUACGGGAGGCAGCAGUGGGGAAUUUUGGACAAUGGGCGAAAGCCUGAUCCAGCAAUACCGCGUGCAGGAAGAAGGCCCUCGGGUUGUAAACUGCUUUUGUACGGAACGAAACGGCGCGCUCUAAUAAAGUGCGCUAAUGACGGUACCGUAAGAAUAAGCACCGGCUAACUACGUGCCAGCAGCCGCGGUAAUACGUAGGGUGCAAGCGUUAAUCGGAAUUACUGGGCGUAAAGCGUGCGCAGGCGGUUUUGUAAGACAGGCGUGAAAUCCCCGGGCUUAACCUGGGAAUUGCGCUUGUGACUGCAAGGCUAGAGUACGGUAGAGGGGGGUAGAAUUCCGCGUGUAGCAGUGAAAUGCGUAGAUAUGCGGAGGAACACCGAUGGCGAAGGCAGCCCCCUGGACCUGUACUGACGCUCAUGCACGAAAGCGUGGGGAGCAAACAGGAUUAGAUACCCUGGUAG
Molecule: ribosomal RNA, 692 nt
Filed under: uncultured Burkholderiales bacterium
Lineage: Bacteria; Pseudomonadati; Pseudomonadota; Betaproteobacteria; Burkholderiales
Description: bacterial SSU rRNA
Rfam family: Bacterial small subunit ribosomal RNA
Source: RNAcentral